This 168-nucleotide microRNA precursor is filed under the name Pelobates cultripes (western spadefoot toad). The record is from RNAcentral. Lineage: Eukaryota; Metazoa; Chordata; Amphibia; Anura; Pelobatidae.
CAGCAGACACAUUCCAGCCAAUCAGCAGCAGACCCUCCCUCCCCCUCCCACCUCCUGGACAGCAUCCAUUUUACAUUCAUUGUGAAGCUGCAUUCUUGUGAGCUGUCCAGGAGGUGGGAGGGUCUGGGAGGGAGGGUCUGCUGCUGAUUGGCUGGAAUGUGUCUGCUG